This 404-nucleotide unclassified non-coding RNA is filed under the name soil metagenome. RNAcentral describes it as "partial contains 5.8S ribosomal RNA, internal transcribed spacer 2, and large subunit ribosomal RNA". The stretch from base 1 to 121 matches the Rfam family "5.8S ribosomal RNA", at positions 35 to 154 of the family's 154-position model. The record is from RNAcentral.
GAUGAAGAACGCAGCGAAAUGCGAUAAGUAAUGUGAAUUGCAGAAUUCAGUGAAUCAUCGAAUCUUUGAACGCACCUUGCGCCCUUUGGCCAUUCCGAAGGGCAUGCCUGUUUGAGUAUCAUGAACACCUCAACUCUCAUGGCUUGCCAUGAUGAGCUUGGACUUUGGGGGUCUUGCUGGCCUGCGGCCAGCUCCUCUCAAAUGAAUUAGCUUUCCAGUGUUUGGUUGGCAUCACAGGUGUGAUAACUAUCUACGCUUGUGGUUUCCACCAGGUAACCUUCAGUAACAUGGGGGUUUGCUGGAGCUCAUAAAUGUCUCUCCUCAGUGGGGACAGCUCUUUGAACGUUUGAUCUCAAAGCAGGUAGGACUACCCGCUGAACUUAAGCAUAUCAAUAAGCGGAGGA